Molecule: ribosomal RNA, 700 nt
Filed under: uncultured bacterium
Lineage: Bacteria
Description: bacterial SSU rRNA
Rfam family: Bacterial small subunit ribosomal RNA
Source: RNAcentral
CAUGCAAGUCGAGCGGCAGCGCGGGAGCAAUCCUGGCGGCGAGCGGCGGACGGGUGAGCAAUAUUUGGGAAUCUGCCUACUAGUGGGGGACAACCCGGGGAAACUCGGGCUAAUACCGCAUACGCACUACGGUGGAAAGCCGGGGACCGCAAGGCCUGGCGCUAGUAGAUGAGCCCAAAUCGGAUUAGCUAGUUGGUGAGGUAAUGGCUCACCAAGGCUACGAUCCGUAGCUGGUCUGAGAGGACGACCAGCCACACCGGAACUGAGACACGGUCCGGACUCCUACGGGAGGCAGCAGUGGGGAAUAUUGGACAAUGGGCGAAAGCCUGAUCCAGCGACGCCGCGUGGGUGAAGAAGGCCUGCGGGUUGUAAAGCCCUUUCAGUGGGGAAGAAAAGCCUCGACCUAACACGUCGGGGUCUUGACGUAACCCAUAGAAGAAGCACCGGCUAACUCUGUGCCAGCAGCCGCGGUAAUACAGAGGGUGCGAGCGUUAAUCGGAAUUACUGGGCGUAAAGCGCGCGUAGGCGGCUUUGCAAGUCGAGUGUGAAAUCCCCAGGCUUAACCUGGGAACUGCAUUCGAGACUGCAUAGCUAGAGUAUGGGAGAGGGAAGUGGAAUUUCAGGUGUAGCGGUGAAAUGCGUAGAUAUCUGAAGGAACAUCAGUGGCGAAAGCGACUUCCUGGACCAAUACUGACGCUCA